Molecule: ribosomal RNA, 745 nt
Filed under: uncultured bacterium
Lineage: Bacteria
Description: bacterial SSU rRNA
Rfam family: Bacterial small subunit ribosomal RNA
Source: RNAcentral
ACGCUGGCGGCAGGCCUAACACAUGCAAGUCGAGCGGUAGAGAGAAGCUUGCUUCUCUUGAGAGCGGCGGACGGGUGAGUAAUGCCUAUGAAUCUGCCUGGUAGUGGGGGAUAAAGUUCGGAAACGGACGCUAAUACCGCAUACGUCCUACGGGAGAAAGCAGGGGACCUUCGGGCCUUGCGCUAUCAGAUGAGCCUAGGUCGGAUUAGCUAGUUGGUGAGGUAAUGGCUCACCAAGGCGACGAUCCGUAACUGGUCUGAGAGGAUGAUCAGUCACACUGGAACUGAGACACGGUCCAGACUCCUACGGGAGGCAGCAGUGGGGAAUAUUGGACAAUGGGCGAAAGCCUGAUCCAGCCAUGCCGCGUGUGUGAAGAAGGUCUUCGGAUUGUAAAGCACUUUAAGUUGGGAGGAAGAGCAGUUACCUAAUACGUGAUUGUUUUGACGUUACCGACAGAAUAAGCACCGGCUAACUCUGUGCCAGCAGCCGCGGUAAUACAGAGGGUGCAAGCGUUAAUCGGAAUUACUGGGCGUAAAGCGCGCGUAGGUGGUUAGUUAAGUUGGAUGUGAAAUCCCCGGGCUCAACCUGGGAACUGCAUUCAAAACUGACUGACUAGAGUAUGGUAGAGGGUGGUGGAAUUUCCUGUGUAGCGGUGAAAUGCGUAGAUAUAGGAAGGAACACCAGUGGCGAAGGCGACCACCUGGACUGAUACUGACACUGAGGUGCGAAAGCGUGGGGAGCAAAC